Molecule: ribosomal RNA, 449 nt
Filed under: uncultured bacterium
Lineage: Bacteria
Description: partial 16S ribosomal RNA
Rfam family: Bacterial small subunit ribosomal RNA
Source: RNAcentral
AGCGAACGCUGGCGGCAGGCCUAACACAUGCAAGUCGAACGAACUCUUCGGAGUUAGUGGCGGACGGGUGAGUAACACGUGGGAACGUGCCUUUAGGUUCGGAAUAACUCAGGGAGACUUGUGCUAAUACCGAAUGUGCCCUUCGGGGGAAAGAUUUAUCGCCUUUAGAGCGGCCCGCGUCUGAUUAGCUAGUUGGUGAGGUAAAGGCUCACCAAGGCGACGAUCAGUAGCUGGUCUGAGAGGAUGAUCAGCCACAUUGGGACUGAGACACGGCCCAAACUCCUACGGGAGGCAGCAGUGGGGAAUCUUGCGCAAUGGGCGAAGGCCUGACGCAGCCAUGCCGCGUGAAUGAUGAAGGUCUUAGGAUUGUAAAAUUCUUUCACCGGGGACGAUAAUGACGGUACCCGGAGAAGAAGCCCCGGCUAACUUCGUGCCAGCCGCCGCAGUAA